Molecule: ribosomal RNA, 465 nt
Filed under: uncultured bacterium
Lineage: Bacteria
Description: bacterial SSU rRNA
Rfam family: Bacterial small subunit ribosomal RNA
Source: RNAcentral
UGCCAGACUCCUACGGGAGGCAGCAGUGAGGAAUAUUGGUCAAUGGGCGGGAGCCUGAACCAGCCAAGUCGCGUGAGGGAAGACGGUCCUAUGGAUUGUAAACCUCUUUUGUCGGGGAGCAAAAGACGCCACGUGUGGCGUUCCGAGAGUACCCGAAGAAAAAGCAUCGGCUAACUCCGUGCCAGCAGCCGCGGUAAUACGGAGGAUGCGAGCGUUAUCCGGAUUUAUUGGGUUUAAAGGGUGCGCAGGCGGAGGUGCAAGUCAGCGGUCAAAUUGCGGGGCUCAACCCCGUACUGCCGUUGAAACUGCAUCCCUUGAGUGCGCGAGAAGUAUGCGGAAUGCGUGGUGUAGCGGUGAAAUGCAUAGAUAUCACGCAGAACUCCGAUUGCGAAGGCAGCAUACCGGCGCGCAACUGACGCUCAUGCACGAAAGCGUGGGUAUCGAACAGGAUUAGAUACCCUUGUA